AAGGAAGAAGCGCGGAGGAUGGGCAUUACCUUGGAGAGGCCCGAGUUCUUGGCGGUGUGUCCAAAUUGGUGUUAUGGAAAAGACGAGUCCUGGGCGGCAUUGGUGGAUCUUUGGUGUGAUGAGGAUGGAGCCUAGGCGGCUAUGAGAACCAAAAAUAAGGCUAACCGAGGGACAGAGGGAGUACAUGCUCAGGGAAACCGAAACCACUAUCUCCACAAGGCAGUUAAUGAGGAGAAACUGAAGCGGCCGCUCUCACACAUGAAGGCGUGGGAGAU
Molecule: long non-coding RNA, 275 nt
Organism: Triticum dicoccoides
Lineage: Eukaryota; Viridiplantae; Streptophyta; Magnoliopsida; Poales; Poaceae
Exons: 3
Source: RefSeq, a predicted model, not a curated record